UAUGAUUCAGAGGAGAGUCUGGGAAGUGA
Molecule: non-coding RNA, 29 nt
Filed under: Homo sapiens (human)
Lineage: Eukaryota; Metazoa; Chordata; Mammalia; Primates; Hominidae
Source: RNAcentral